CCUACGGGAGGCAGCAGUGAGGAAUAUUGGUCAAUGGACGGAAGUCUGAACCAGCCAUGCCGCGUGCAGGAAGACGGCUCUAUGAGUUGUAAACUGCUUUUGUACAAGGGUAAACCUGAAUACGUGUAGUCAUCUGAAAGUACUGUACGAAUAAGGAUCGGCUAACUCCGUGCCAGCAGCCGCGGUAAUACGGAGGAUCCAAGCGUUAUCCGGAUUUAUUGGGUUUAAAGGGUGCGUAGGCGGAUUUUUAAGUCAGCGGUCAAAUCGUGGGGCUCAACCCCAUCCAGCCGUUGAAACUGGGGUUCUUGAGUGUGCGGAAGGUAUGCGGAAUGCGUGGUGUAGCGGUGAAAUGCUUAGAUAUCACGCAGAACCCCGAUUGCGAAGGCAGCAUACCGCUGCACAACUGACGCUCAGGCACGAAAGCGUGGGUAUCGAACAGGAUUAGAUACCCUAGUAGUC
RNAcentral lists this ribosomal RNA (459 nucleotides) under uncultured bacterium. Its description in RNAcentral is "partial 16S ribosomal RNA". It matches the Rfam family "Bacterial small subunit ribosomal RNA", at positions 338 to 795 of the family's 1533-position model. The record is from RNAcentral.